RNAcentral lists this long non-coding RNA (309 nucleotides) under Brassica napus (rape). RNAcentral's name for it is "long non-coding RNA (BNAP_LNC011159)". Lineage: Eukaryota; Viridiplantae; Streptophyta; Magnoliopsida; Brassicales; Brassicaceae. The record is from RNAcentral.
AGAGUUAAGGGGUGGGGUUUAGGAUUUAGGGUUUAGGGUUUAGAGUUGGGGAGUGGGGUUUAGGGUUUAGGGUUUAGAGUUAAGGGGUGGGGUUUAGGGUUUAGAGUUUAGGGUUUAGGGUUUAGGGUUUAGAGUUUAGGUUUUAGGGUUUAAUGUUGGGGAGUGGGAUUUUGGGAUAAGAUUUCAAAUUUUGAAAAAUAAAAAAAAAUUAAAUUUUUCAAAAGAUGAAAAGCUAUUUUGGUCAUUUUAGUUUUUGAGGGCUAUUUUUGUGACAUAAACUUAGAAAUGUGCUAUUUUGGAGAUUUGUCC